Molecule: non-coding RNA, 119 nt
Organism: Picea glauca (white spruce)
Lineage: Eukaryota; Viridiplantae; Streptophyta; Pinopsida; Pinales; Pinaceae
Source: Rfam
GGUUUUGAUCAUACAAGCGUUAAUGCAUCGGAUCCCAGCAGAACUCCGUAGUUAAGCGCGCUUGGGCUAGAGUAGUACUGGGAUGGGUGACCUCCCGGGAAGUCCUAGUGUUGCACCCU